Molecule: small nuclear RNA, 107 nt
Filed under: Lynx canadensis (Canada lynx)
Lineage: Eukaryota; Metazoa; Chordata; Mammalia; Carnivora; Felidae
Source: RNAcentral
GUGCUCACUUCGGCAGCACAUAUACUAAAAUUGGAACGAUACAGAGAAGAUUAGCAUGGCCCCUGUGCAAGGAUGACAUGCAAAUUCAUGAAGCUUCCAUGUUUUAA